RNAcentral lists this ribosomal RNA (521 nucleotides) under uncultured bacterium. RNAcentral's name for it is "bacterial SSU rRNA". It matches the Rfam family "Bacterial small subunit ribosomal RNA", at positions 32 to 517 of the family's 1533-position model. The record is from RNAcentral.
AAUCAACGCUGGCGGCGUGCCUAACACAUGCAAGUCGAACGCGGUUACUUCUGCUUCGCAAGAAGUAGUGGUAACUGAGUGGCGAACGGGUGAGUAACACGUGGGUGACCUGCCUUCGAGUGGGGGAUAACAUCCCGAAAGGGGUGGCUAAUACCGCAUGAGAUCCUGCCUUUGAAGAGGCGGAGAUUAAAGCUGGGGAUCGUAAGACCCGGCGCUUGAAGAGGGGCCCGCGUCCGAUAGCUAGUUGGUGGGGUAACGGCCUACCAAGGCGACGAUCGGUAGCCGGCCUGAGAGGGCGGACGGCCACACUGGGACUGAGACACGGCCCAGACUCCUACGGGAGGCAGCAGUGGGGAAUUGUUCGCAAUGGGCGAAAGCCUGACGACGCAACGCCGCGUGGAGGACGAAGAUUUUCGGAUCGUAAACUCCUUUCGAUCGGGACGAACGACUGGUGGCCCAAUACGCCAUCAGAGUGACGGUACCGAGAGAAGAACGCCCGGCUAACUCCGUGCCAGCCGCCG